This 294-nucleotide unclassified non-coding RNA is filed under the name uncultured fungus. RNAcentral describes it as "sequence contains ITS1". Lineage: Eukaryota; Fungi. The record is from RNAcentral.
UUGGACUACUCGGGUAUCUAAUCCUGUUUGCUCCCCACGCUUUCGAGCCUCAACGUCAGUUACAGUCCAGUAAGCCGCCUUCGCCACUGGUGUUCCUCCUAAUAUCUACGCAUUUCACCGCUACACUAGGAAUUCCACUUACCUCUCCUGCACUCUAGCUGCACAGUUUCCAAAGCAGUUCCGGGGUUAAGCCCCGGCAUUUCACUUCAGACUUGUGCUGCCGUCUACGCUCCCUUUACACCCAGUAAAUCCGGAUAACGCUUGCCCCCUACGUAUUACCGCGGCGGCUGGCAC